Molecule: long non-coding RNA, 711 nt
Organism: Anguilla rostrata (American eel)
Lineage: Eukaryota; Metazoa; Chordata; Actinopteri; Anguilliformes; Anguillidae
Exons: 2
Source: RefSeq, a predicted model, not a curated record
UGUCCACACCAGUUCAACCUGCAGGUCUCACAUAGGGUCCACACCAGUACAACAUGCAGAUCUCACAAGAUAGUCCACACCAGUUCAACAUGCAGGUCUCACAAGAUAGUCCACACCAGUACAAGAUGCAGGUCUCACAAGAUAGUCCACACCAGUACAAGAUGCAGGUCUCACAAGAUGGCCCACACCAGUACAACAUGCAGGUCUCACCAGGGUGUCCACACCAAUACAACAUGUAGUUCUUACCAGGAUGUCCACACCACUACAACAUACAGGUCUCACAAGAUAGUCCACACCGGUACAACAUGCAGGUCUCACCAGGUUUUACUGUCAGAAUGAGGAAUGAGGAAAGCCCCGUGGUUUCUUAAACACAUCUCAGAGAAACGCUUACACUCUGCGUAUGGAAACUUUACCCACCCUCCAACUCUCUUUUAAAUUUUUUCAUUUUAUUUUAUGUGUUGGUAUAUAAUUUAUGUAUUAUUUAUCAUUGAAUUGUGUGUGUAUUUAUUUCGUUUCUCCGUCUCUAGUUUGGGUUACUAUUUUGUUUAGUGCUUGUGACAGUCAGUGUGAUUUUAUGCACUUUGUUUAACGGGAAAAGCAUCUGGUUUCCAUACACAGUCUCGGGGCAGUAGAGGUGCUAAUAUCAUUGGGUAGAGUGUGUUCUGUCUAAUUUUACUGCAUAAAUUAAACUGCUGCCAAACAGUUAAACCA